CGGAGUUUGAUAACUUGUUAACGUUGUAUGACGUCAUAUUGUUCGUAAGAUAUGCUUUUAUUUUCUUUUUGCCGAAUGUUCAAUUAUAGGGAUGGAAAAGGCAAGUAAGUUUAUGAACAACACGAGGCUCUCUCUCUUAUCUCUCUCAAAUAUUUUAGAGAGAGAGUGCUCAUUUAGUGUUUUGCCGGCGGUUCCUUUUUCCGGCAAUGUCUCCCGAAGUUCGGGCUUAUGACUCUGGCAAGAGAUGGCUUUUUAGCAUCUUCUUGGCCGGCUCUGACUCUGGCAAGAGGUGGCUCUCUUAGCACCUUCUUGGCCGGCUCCGUGCGACUAUCCGCUCAUCUCCGAUGUAGUUCGCUUUUUAGAUCCGAGUCUUUUCCAGUCUUGGUUUUUUAAAAGUUGCUUUUGCACUAGUUAGUUUCCUGUGACGAUCUUCCAUUGUUGAGCUUCAGUCUAGUGGAGUUUGGUGAUGGUUUUGUUUCGGUUGAGUCUCUCUAUUUGCUCGGCAAACUUGUGCUUGUCAUCGUCUUUCGUCGUCUUUGUUCCGUUAAAUCUUAAGCUUCCUGUUUCUGGUAAGCUUCCGGUGGAGUGCUCGAUUGGUCGGGCCGGCGGUGAAAUCAAGUCGGUGGAAUGAGGAUGUCUCUGCUUGUGAGCCACAUGUUUCCCUUUUGCUUCGCAAUGCAACACGUGGCUAUAUGCUGAUCAUGAGUUGUCCUCUUCACCUUAUAGGCUUUUGUUCGGCCUCAGUUGUUACCUUUCGUCUGGGUCUUGCUCUUUUGGCCCCAUAUGUAUUUGCAUUUGUUUACUGUUGGUUUUUAAUAAUAUAUAUACGAGAUGAAAAAAAAAAAAAAAGAUGGAAAAGGCAAGUCUCACAUGUGAAGGAGCAGUUUCCAAUGAAUGUCAUCUGUCAUUUAUCAAACAUCGACAUUUUAGGAUUUUAGUCAUGUGCUCCACUGGUAAGAAUCCAUUAAUGCUUUUCUUCAAGGAGAGCUGGAGGAUGAGGUUUACAUGAGGCCACCUCCGGGUAUGGAAGACAUGGUCAAGCCAGGGAAUGUCCUAAGGUUGAAGAAAGCAAUAUAUGGGUUAAAACAGUCACCAAGGGCUUGGUACCACAAACUGAGUACAACUCUCAAUGGAAGAGGGUUUGUAAAAUCAGAAGCUGAUCAUACACUCUUCACACUCACAAGCAAGCAAGGAAUUGUGGUGAUUCUUAUUUAUGUAGAUGAUAUUAUCAUCACAGGAAGUGACAAGGAAGGUAUUAUCUCAACCAAAGUAUUUCUUAAGUCUACUUUUGAUAUUAAAGAUUUGGGUGAGCUAAAGUACUUUCUAGGGAUAGAAAUAUGCCGCUCUAAAGAGGGGCUUUUCUUAUCUCAAAGGAAGUACACACUUGAUCUUUUGAAUGAGGCAGGAAAGCUUGGAGCGAGAGUAGCCAAGACUCCACUAGAAGAUGGGUAUAAGGUGUUGCGUGAGGGGGAGAUUGAAGAUAAGCCUUAUGCUGACGUUAAACACUAUAGAAGAAUGGUAGGAAAGCUGAUAUACCUCACCAUCACCAGGCCUGAUGUAUGCUUUGCAGUUAACCAAGUAAGCCAGAAUAUGCAAGCUCCCAAGAUACACCAUUGGAACAUGGUUGAAAGGAUCCUAAGAUACCUAAGAGAGGCGCCAGGGCAAGGAGUGUGGAUGGGAUGCAACAAAAAUACAGAGAUAGUUGGGUAUUGUGAUGCUGAUUGGGCAGGAGACAGAGUGGAUAGGAGAUCCACUACCGGUUAUUGUACAUUCAUUGGAGGCAAUCUUGUCACUUGGAAGAGCAAGAAACAGAAGAUAGUGUCAUGCUCAAGUGCUGAAGCUGAAUAUAGGGCAAUGAGGAAGCUCACUAGUGAGUUGAUUUGGAUCAGAAACCUACUUCAAGACUUUGGUAUAGAGACAUCAACUCCAAUCACCAUGCAUUGUGAUAAUCAAGCGGCAAUACACAUAGCCUCCAACAAUGUGUUCCAUGAGAGGACUAAACACAUUGAGGUGGAUUGUCAUAAAGUUAGGCAAGCAGUGGAACAAAGGAUCAUCUUACCCUGCUAUACAAGAAGUGAGGAUCAACUAGCUGAUAUCUUCACCAAGGCUGCAAGCACCAAGGUUUGCGAGUUCAUACAUUCCAAGUUAGGACUCGUAGAUUUUUCAUCACACUGAUCCUCUUAGUCAUGAAGUGUUCUACUCUUUUUCCUUGGCUUGGUUUUUAUCCCAUGAGGUUUUUCCAAGCUAAAGGUUUUAAUGAGGGAAUGCUUCAUGGUUUCCAAGCUUGACCAGUUCCUAUAGUCAAGCUUGAGGGGGAGUGUAAAAAUGAAGCAAUAAGAAACAAGAUGGUGGUUUAAGGUCUCAAGACAAUGGAGAUACCACUACAAGGGACAAACAUGCAUGGUUGGUUAAGGUCUCAAUACAAUGGAGAUACCACUACAAGGGACAAGCAUGCAUGGUGGGUUAAGGUCUCAAAACAAUGGAUUAUUAGUUUAUCAUAUCUCAUCUACCAUUUACCAUACUUGUAACCACUAUAUAUAUGAAAUGUUCUCAUAAGCAAAUCAAUCAAGUGAAUAAGAUUAUUCUUCUUUACUCUCUCUCUCUUUCUCUCUCUCUUGUUCUUCACUAUGUUCUUUAAUUUCUAACAUAGAUAACCUUAUGAACAUGAUUAAAACGUUAUUUCUGUUAAUGCGAGUUUAUGUACGUUUAAUUUUUGUCAAAAUGAGAUGAGCUUUUUGUAAUUCUGUAGAACCUUUUUUUUUUUGUAAAAUGGCAUUAUUUCUGUAGAACCUUUAAAAGUAAAUAAAAUACAUGUUUUUGUAAAAUUCUGUAGAACCUUUAAAAGUAAAAUACAUGUUUUUUUGUAAUUCUGUGGAUUUGUCCAAGUAGUUGAAAAUAUUUUCCACAACCUCGUAUCAUACCCGUAGAAUUGUUUUCUUGAUAAGUAGCUAAACCAUCAUAACAUACAUUUCGUUUUUUGAUCAAAGAAAUUAUAUCUGAUGUUAGAAAAAAAAUCACAGAAACUAUAUCUAGCUAGGAUUCCAUUAUCAAAUGCAUACUAAUGAUUAUUAAUCAAACACAAGCUAUGCUUUAUGAUCAAACAUAAUCAAACACAAGCUCUUCUUAGAAGUACAUAGAGAUAGAGAUCUGGUCGGAGUUUGAUAACUUGUUAACGUUGUAUGACGUCAUAUUGUUCGUAAGAUAUGCUUUUAUUUUCUUUUUGCCGAAUGUUCAAUUAUAGGGAUGGAAAAGGCAAGUAAGUUUAUGAACAACACGAGGCUCUCUCUCUUAUCUCUCUCAAAUAUUUUAGAGAGAGAGUGCUCAUUUAGUGUUUUGCCGGCGGUUCCUUUUUCCGGCAAUGUCUCCCGAAGUUCGGGCUUAUGACUCUGGCAAGAGAUGGCUUUUUAGCAUCUUCUUGGCCGGCUCUGACUCUGGCAAGAGGUGGCUCUCUUAGCACCUUCUUGGCCGGCUCCGUGCGACUAUCCGCUCAUCUCCGAUGUAGUUCGCUUUUUAGAUCCGAGUCUUUUCCAGUCUUGGUUUUUUAAAAGUUGCUUUUGCACUAGUUAGUUUCCUGUGACGAUCUUCCAUUGUUGAGCUUCAGUCUAGUGGAGUUUGGUGAUGGUUUUGUUUCGGUUGAGUCUCUCUAUUUGCUCGGCAAACUUGUGCUUGUCAUCGUCUUUCGUCGUCUUUGUUCCGUUAAAUCUUAAGCUUCCUGUUUCUGGUAAGCUUCCGGUGGAGUGCUCGAUUGGUCGGGCCGGCGGUGAAAUCAAGUCGGUGGAAUGAGGAUGUCUCUGCUUGUGAGCCACAUGUUUCCCUUUUGCUUCGCAAUGCAACACGUGGCUAUAUGCUGAUCAUGAGUUGUCCUCUUCACCUUAUAGGCUUUUGUUCGGCCUCAGUUGUUACCUUUCGUCUGGGUCUUGCUCUUUUGGCCCCAUAUGUAUUUGCAUUUGUUUACUGUUGGUUUUUAAUAAUAUAUAUACGAGAUGAAAAAAAAAAAAAAAGAUGGAAAAGGCAAGUCUCACAUGUGAAGGAGCAGUUUCCAAUGAAUGUCAU
RNAcentral lists this long non-coding RNA (4053 nucleotides) under Brassica napus (rape). Its description in RNAcentral is "long non-coding RNA (BNAP_LNC016653)". The record is from RNAcentral. Lineage: Eukaryota; Viridiplantae; Streptophyta; Magnoliopsida; Brassicales; Brassicaceae.